AGUGAACGCUGGCGGUAGGCCUAACACAUGCAAGUCGAACGGCAGCACAGUAAGAGCUUGCUCUUACGGGUGGCGAGUGGCGGAUGGGUGAGGAAUACAUCGGAAUCUACUUUUUCGUGGGGGAUAACGUAGGGAAACUUACGCUAAUACCGCAUACGACCUACGGGUGAAAGCAGGGGAUCUUCGGACCUUGCGCGAUUGAAUGAGCCGAUGUCGGAUUAGCUAGUUGGCGGGGUAAAGGCCCACCAAGGCGACGAUCCGUAGCUGGUCUGAGAGGAUGAUCAGCCACACUGGAACUGGGACACGGUCCAGACUCCUACGGGAGGCAGCAGUGGGGAAUAUUGGACAAUGGGCGCAAGCCUGAUCCAGCCAUACCGCGUGGGUGAAGAAGGCCUUCGGGUUGUAAAGCCCUUUUGUUGGGAAAGAAAAGCAGCAGGUUAAUACCCCGCUGUUCUGACGGUACCCAAAGAAUAAGCACCGGCUAACUUCGUG
This 492-nucleotide ribosomal RNA is filed under the name uncultured bacterium. Its description in RNAcentral is "partial 16S ribosomal RNA". It matches the Rfam family "Bacterial small subunit ribosomal RNA", at positions 29 to 507 of the family's 1533-position model. The record is from RNAcentral.